This 244-nucleotide long non-coding RNA is filed under the name Dasypus novemcinctus (nine-banded armadillo). RNAcentral's name for it is "lncRNA (ENSDNOG00000052969.1)". The record is from RNAcentral. Lineage: Eukaryota; Metazoa; Chordata; Mammalia; Cingulata; Dasypodidae.
AUUCACCGCAGGUGCUGGCUAAGGGGUGAAGUGGGUGGAUAAAGAGGCCCAUAUCUGCAUCUUAGCCCCACCCCCAGCUCACCCGGUGACCCAGCGCCCAGGAAGGAGCUUCCUAGUGGCCUUCGUUUCUUUAUCUGUGGACAUAGAGCUUCCCAGGAACCGGGCGAGCACUGGUCUUGAUCUUGUAAAGAAGGGGACGCGGAGGGACUAGCAGCACGGAGAGGUGCACCGAGCAACAGGCUCC